Molecule: long non-coding RNA, 389 nt
Filed under: Phoenix dactylifera (date palm)
Lineage: Eukaryota; Viridiplantae; Streptophyta; Magnoliopsida; Arecales; Arecaceae
Description: long non-coding RNA (PDAC_LNC000892)
Source: RNAcentral
UAGUAGAGAUCUAAGAGAUCUAUAUAGAGUGGAGCAAGAGAAAAAAAAGACUUCGUUGCCCGAAAAGAGCAGAGAUAUAUUAUAACCGUUGGUCAUACAAUAAUUGAUCAUCAUGCGAGACGAGUUGUAAUUAUCAUGCAACGUGCCUCAUGAAUGUGUAAGCUAAUAUGGUCGGUUGAUCUGAUCGAUCACAAGCCGACAAAUCCAGGCUACAUCAAUUUCCUUUUGUGAUCUUUUCUAUAAAACCCAAGAAACUGCAAAACUGGACUUAACAUUGCCGUAUCUAGUUUGCGUUGCCUUACUUCUGGUAAUUUUCAUUGAAAAAUUCCAAGAAAUAUCAAAACGCUAGUCUUACGUUUGCCAUAAGUGUCCUGGAAUGAGUUAUCUUG